AAAUAUGAAGUAAAAUUUACAUUUAGUUUCGACCUAAUCUUUGGUACCAUUACCCUUAUUUA
This 62-nucleotide transfer RNA is filed under the name Phyllomyza sp. Its description in RNAcentral is "tRNA-Arg". Lineage: Eukaryota; Metazoa; Arthropoda; Insecta; Diptera; Milichiidae. The record is from RNAcentral.